Molecule: ribosomal RNA, 468 nt
Filed under: uncultured bacterium
Lineage: Bacteria
Description: partial 16S ribosomal RNA
Rfam family: Bacterial small subunit ribosomal RNA
Source: RNAcentral
GACGAACGCUGGCGGCGUGCUUAACACAUGCAAGUCGAACGGAAAGGCCCUGCUUUUGUGGGGUGCUCGAGUGGCGAACGGGUGAGUAACACGUGAGUAACCUGCCCUUGACUUUGGGAUAACUUCAGGAAACUGGGGCUAAUACCGGAUAGGAACUCCUGCUGCAUGGUGGGGGUUGGAAAGUUUCGGCGGUUGGGGAUGGACUCGCGGCUUAUCAGCUUGUUGGUGGGGUAGUGGCUUACCAAGGCUUUGACGGGUAGCCGGCCUGAGAGGGUGACCGGCCACAUUGGGACUGAGAUACGGCCCAGACUCCUACGGGAGGCAGCAGUGGGGAAUACUGCACAAUGGGCGGAAGCCUGAUGCAGCAACGCCGCGUGCGGGAUGACGGCCUUCGGGUUGUAAACCGCUUUCGCCUGUGACGAAGCGUGAGUGACGGUAAUGGGUAAAGAAGCACCGGCUAACUACGUG